RNAcentral lists this ribosomal RNA (301 nucleotides) under uncultured bacterium. RNAcentral describes it as "partial 16S ribosomal RNA". It matches the Rfam family "Bacterial small subunit ribosomal RNA", at positions 509 to 807 of the family's 1533-position model. The record is from RNAcentral.
CAGCAGCCACGGUAAUACGUAGGGGGCAAGCGUUAUCCGGAUUUACUGGGUGUAAAGGGAGCGUAGACGGAAUGGCAAGUCUGAAGUGAAAUGCCCGGGCUCAACCCGGGAACUGCUUUGGAAACUGUCGAUCUGGAGUGUUGGAGAGGUAAGUGGAAUUCCUGGUGUAGCGGUGAAAUGCGUAGAGAUCAGGAAGAACACCGGAGGCGAAGGCGGCUUACUGGACAAAGACUGACGUUGAGGCUCGAAAGCGCGGGAAGCAAACAGGAUUAGAUACCCCCGUAGUCCCUGUCUCUUAUAC